Molecule: ribosomal RNA, 402 nt
Filed under: uncultured bacterium
Lineage: Bacteria
Description: bacterial SSU rRNA
Rfam family: Bacterial small subunit ribosomal RNA
Source: RNAcentral
UGGGGAAUUUUGGACAAUGGGCGCAAGCCUGAUCCAGCCAUGCCGCGUGAGUGAUGAAGGCCUUCGGGUUGUAAAGCUCUUUUGGCGGGGACGAUGAUGACGGUACCCGCAGAAUAAGCCCCGGCUAACUUCGUGCCAGCAGCCGCGGUAAGACGAAGGGGGCAAGCGUUGUUCGGAAUUACUGGGCGUAAAGGGCGCGUAGGCGGUUUGCUUAGUCAGGCGUGAAAGCCCUGGGCUUAACCUGGGAUGUGCGCUUGAUACUGGCAGGCUUGAGUGUGGGAGAGGUUGGUGGAAUUCCCAGUGUAGAGGUGAAAUUCGUAGAUAUUGGGAAGAACACCGGUGGCGAAGGCGGCCAACUGGACCACAACUGACGCUGAGGCGCGAAAGCGUGGGGAGCAAACA